Molecule: transfer RNA, 72 nt
Filed under: Capra hircus (goat)
Lineage: Eukaryota; Metazoa; Chordata; Mammalia; Artiodactyla; Bovidae
Also listed under: 1 other name
Rfam family: tRNA
About the family: Transfer RNA (tRNA) molecules are approximately 80 nucleotides in length.
Source: Rfam by way of RNAcentral
UCCCUGGCAGUCCAGUGGUUAGGACUCUGCACUGCCACCGCAGGGGCACAGGUUCAAUCCUUGGUCGGGGAA